CGGGGCUGUGCCCCGGCCGUAAUGCAGCCCCCUGCCCGAUUGGGCCGGGGCCGGUCCCAAGCCCGGAAAAAUGCAGAGGGCGGA
This 84-nucleotide non-coding RNA is filed under the name unclassified sequences. The record is from RNAcentral.